Molecule: ribosomal RNA, 468 nt
Filed under: uncultured bacterium
Lineage: Bacteria
Description: partial 16S ribosomal RNA
Rfam family: Bacterial small subunit ribosomal RNA
Source: RNAcentral
GACGAACGCUGGCGGCGUGCUUAACACAUGCAAGUCGAACGGAAAGGCCCUGCUUUUGUGGGGUGCUCGAGUGGCGAACGGGUGAGUAACACGUGAGUAACCUGCCCUUGACUUUGGGAUAACUUCAGGAAACUGGGGCUAAUACCGGAUAGGAGCUCCUGCUGCAUGGUGGGGGUUGGAAAGUUUCGGCGGUUGGGGAUGGACUCGCGGCUUAUCAGCUUGUUGGUGGGGUAGUGGCUUACCAAGGCCUUGACGGGUAGCCGGCCUGAGAGGGUGACCGGCCAAAUUGGGACUGAGGUACGGCCCAAGACCCUACGGGGGGGCACAGGGGGGGAUUUUGCAACAUGGGCCGAAGGCUGAUGCCGCAACGGCGCGUGCGGGAUGACGGGCUUUGGGUUGUAAACCGCUUUCGCCUGUGACGAAGCGUGAGUGACGGUAAUGGGUAAAGAAGCACCAGCUAACUACGUG